This 257-nucleotide ribosomal RNA is filed under the name uncultured bacterium. RNAcentral's name for it is "partial 16S ribosomal RNA". It matches the Rfam family "Bacterial small subunit ribosomal RNA", at positions 333 to 604 of the family's 1533-position model. The record is from RNAcentral.
UGCCGCCUACGGGGCGCAGCAGUGGGGAAUAUUGGGCAAUGGGCGCAAGCCUGACCCAGCAACGCCGCGUGAAGGAAGAAGGCUUUCGGGUUGUAAACUUCUUUUGUCAGGGACGAAGCAAGUGACGGUACCUGACGAAUAAGCCACGGCUAACUACGUGCUAGCAGCCGCUGUAAUACGUAGGUGGCAAGCGUUAUCCGGAUUUAUUGGGUGUAAAGGGCGUGUAGGCGGGAAUGCAAGUCAGAUGUGAAAACUAU